Molecule: long non-coding RNA, 1026 nt
Filed under: Sus scrofa (pig)
Lineage: Eukaryota; Metazoa; Chordata; Mammalia; Artiodactyla; Suidae
Description: lncRNA (ENSSSCG00035061984.1, ENSSSCG00055023733.1)
Source: RNAcentral
AUGAUGCAUAUUAACAUAAUGAGCACUUUCUUGGAUGAAUCACUACCAAAAGAUAUCGAGUUGGCUAUGACAGCAAAACGAUUCUUGAAGAGAUUCCAGUACACUUUGAAAGGGGUUGAUGCUCAAGAAUCACUGCCUUGGACAUGCUUCUUUGACAUCCUGGACCAGACCGAUUCCCUGUAUUAUUUUUUUUAUUGUUUUUAUUUUUAUUUAUUUAUUUUUGGGGGGUCUUUUUACCUUUUCUUUUUUGUUGUUGUUGUUUUUUGUUUGUUUGUUUGUUUGUUUUUUUGGUAUUUUUGCUAUUUCUUUGGGCCGCUCCCGCGGCAUAUGGAGGUUCCCAGGCUAGGGGUCGAAUCAGAGCUGCAGCCACCGGCCUAGGCCAGAGCCACAGCAACGUGGGAUCCGAGCCACGUCUGCAACCUACACCACAGCUCACGGCAACGCCGGAUCGUUAACCCACUGAGCAAGGGCAGGGACUGAACCGGCAACCUCAUGGUUCCUAGUCGGAUUCGUUAACCAUUGCGCCACGACGGGAACUCCCCCUUUUUACCUUUUCUAGGGCCGCUGCUGCAGCAUAUGGAGUUUCCCAGUCUAGGGGUCGAAUUGGAGCUGUAGCCGCUGGCCCACGCCAGAGCCACAGCAACACGGGAUCUGAGCUGCGUCUGUGACCUACACCACAGCUCAUGGCAAUGCUGGAUCCCCAACCCACUGAGAGAGGCCAGGGAUCGAACCCACAACCUCAUGGUUCCUUGUCGGAUUCAUUAACCACUGCACCACGACGGGAACUCCAACCUAUAUUAUUUCCUUUAAUAGCACCAUGUCCAUCUCCUCCAUAGCAUGUUCACACAUUCGUUGAUUAUUUAUUUGAUUAAUGUCUGCCUCUCCUGUGAGGGUAGGGAUGGCAUCUUUUACUUCCCCUUUCAUUAUUCAUUCCUUUAGAGCCUGGAACUGUAUCUGGCAUAGUGUAGACCCUCCAUAACUGGUUUGUUGAAUAAAUGCAUGAAUAACAGUGGGGAGUUUAACUUC